CCUAGACCCAGCACGCUCAUUAAGACCCAGGUACACACUUAUAAACCCAGUAGUGGGGAAGCAGAAACAGGAGGAUCACCAUGCUCACUGCUAGGUACUCACAUUUGUCGAAGAAGUGAUAAGGAGGCACCUACAGCUUGUUCCAAAGUUAGAAGUUGCUCUUGGUAGGAGAAAAUGUUUGCACCUGGCUCUGCAGUCCACGCAGCCUGAAAUGCAAUUCAUCAACCAUUCCCAUCUCAAAGGGCAGGCCAGGCAACCCAGCACCGAGAAGUCAUCCUUUUCCAAACGAUGGACUGGGUGGGAAACUUGCAAGUCUGCAGAAUGCAAUUACCCGAGUGGAACGUAAGCCAGGGCCAUGUCGGCAGGCCCUUCCCAUAUGCCAGGGAAGGGACCACCAGCUCUGUUGAGGCCAGCAGCCACCAUCUCAGCUCCAGAAGUCACCAAAAUGGCAGACAAUUAAAAUGCCAAGGGAAAACUGAACCU
Mastomys coucha (southern multimammate mouse) is the source of this 483-nucleotide long non-coding RNA. RefSeq lists it as uncharacterized. NCBI's taxonomy places the organism in Eukaryota, Metazoa, Chordata, Mammalia, Rodentia, Muridae. The record is from RefSeq and is a predicted model, not a curated record. The transcript is spliced from 2 exons.